Gasterosteus aculeatus aculeatus (three-spined stickleback) is the source of this 1439-nucleotide long non-coding RNA. The record is from Ensembl. NCBI's taxonomy places the organism in Eukaryota, Metazoa, Chordata, Actinopteri, Perciformes, Gasterosteidae.
AGCAUGCGAGUCUGUCACAAAGCUCCUCUCAAGCUCAAGACUGUCCAUCGCAAAUACAGAAUUCUCUGCUGUUAUUCCCAUGGGUAUGAAGUUCGAAUGAAAAAGCGACGUCUCAAAUGUACUUCGUGACAAAGGAAUCCAGGCGGGUGCACCGUGACUUCAUACACAAGAUGCCUUCACAGCGGGUCCAAAGCGGGAAAGAUUAUGUCUGCAAAUCUUGUUCAAAAGGCAGACAGUCGAGAGCCAACUGGAAUUAAACUGUCGUCACACUCACAAGAAUACCACACACUUCUCAUAUGACCUGAACUAUUCAUCAAUAAGUAAGUCUAUAAUGAGGAUGGGGAGCUCUCAAAUGGCUUUAAAACACAAAACUGUUCAAUGCUCUAGAUGAUAUCAUACAUGUAAGAUAUUUAAGUUAUUUAGUUCUAAUAUGCUUAAAGGAAAUGUUUAAAUGUUUCAAGGAUAUCCCCAUUGUGCAUUGGAAGAGAUUUACUGUAAUUAUAUCUGUUGUUAAAAAUUCAUACUGGCUUUUAAGAGAUAGCUUUGUAAAACAACUACACUGAUGGCGCAACAUCCACCGAUCAGCUGAAGUUAAAAUGGAUUUGUCUAUCAGCUGCAUUUGUGUGAAGCCGUAUGCAGAAAGUCAUGUACGUUGGUGCCAAAAGGGACCGAAAUAACGUUGCGUGACCCCCGUCUGAUUCGGUUCUAAUGAACCCAGAGAGGGUUAACUACCCUCCGGUUUAACCACUGUUCUCAGAGACGCGUAGUGUGUAAACGCAGCUGUUAUUACGGCCCUCCCGCCAUUUUGAAAUCUUGUGUGGCGUGGACAUCAUCUACAAUUUUGGUCACAACAUCUUCCUUGGAAAAGGGCAAUUGGGAAAAGUCUAGGACAGAUAAUGACAACAAUAAAUUGGCCGACCUGCUGCUGCGCCUGUGGUCUCAUAUUGAUCCCUUUCUGCAGCUGAGAGAAUGUCUGGUAAUGUCUUCAUUUUCAGUGCAGCUUAAAAGCAAAACUUGUAUUGUUGUAUGUAUUGUUUUUUUUUCUCUUUCCAAUUUCUUUCAUCACAAAGAUCACGGGUGACACAUUUAUUAGCCAGGAAAUGAAGGCAGAGAGGAACAGCAGUUAACUGUGAUCCUAACUAUGUUGGCAAUGCGACAUCGUUAUCUCUACCACUGCGUGCUGCUGACAGUCUUAUCAGUGGAAACAGACCCGGACGUGAGCAGGUUGGAGAGCAGGAGGAGGAUAUUAAGGGGGUAGAAAAGCAACACUGAAAUUAAAGAGAGACCGGGAGAGAAGUGGAGAUGGACGAUACACAUGGAGGAUAUCAAAAAACUAUAAUGCUUUGCGAGAGAGGAGAACACAAGAUAAAAUACAAAAAGGGAAGAUAGACUGAGGGAAUUGGGGAGAAAAUUGGACGUGAUCCGGGUGGAAAGUGGGA